GACGCUAGUGUAACAGCCCGAUUCCCCGGAGUCCGACCGGGGUUAUCGAAGGGGCGUUAUGGACACGUGUCUACUCAUCUAGACAACCCUACGUGUCCCGUUACUGGUCCCGAGAGACGAGCGCAUAACCUUCUUUGAAAUACCGUCAUACCCACAUCCAUAUACUUCUACUUACAGUCCUGCGCACAGGAAAAAUGGAAAUGGAGGGGUGAGCAACAAGUUACUCAGUGAAGUGGUUCUAGACCAGCCUGCCCGCAUGACACUCUAUACUACUCCAUGCGGGAACUAGGACUGACUAGCCACUACAAUCAGUUAAUGCAUUUUCAUCAUUUCCUAAUGUUAUCUGCAAUUUCCACAAUCACUUCCAUUCAUUUCUAACAACCUAGCGAUCAAUCAAUACAAUGAUCUCACUCAUUGCCACACACGUCAAACCCUAGACUUAACCGACUCCUCUUGUCCGUCCGACCCGACCCUAUGACACCUUUAACUCCCCGUUACCCGACCAUGAGCUAAAACCCUACAAUGCACAUCCUUUUCAACUUUUCAUCUUUUCCUCUUUUCCUCUUUUCCUCUUUUCCUCAGUGGGUAGCCCCCCACUAGGCUUCUACCCCAUAUUCAUGUGGAUUCGCCACAUCUCCUAUGGGUGCUUCCAUAUUCAUGUGGAUUCGCCACAUCUCCUAUGGAUACCUAGCUUGGACCACUUACCCCACCUACAAACCUUAGACUCUCUAUAUGCUUUCCCACCCAUGCUUAACCUUAACAUCCUUCUUUCAUACUUUUACUUAUCAUUUCACUUCCUUAUCGUUUUCACUUAAUCCUCCCCAUUCCCAAUUACUUUCCCUUUUCAUUCAUACUUGAACUUGGACUAAAUCACUAGACGCCACCCGUUAUCGGUGUCACACACAAUACACAUCGCAUUCAAGUUCUACUUCAAUAACGUUUAUAAUCAUUGCUCAUCUAUCAUCCUAGCAUUUGUUCCUCUCUAGCAUCCUAACUUCAAUCACAACAACACAUGGGACAACACAACCAAACAUACAAGUAUCAACUACCAAUCAAUCAUUACCACGACAAUUCAAUUCAGUUCAUCAAGUCCCAUUUAUCAGUAUGAGGGUUCUUAUGCAUCAUGAUUCAUUCAUCUAUCAUCCUAGCAAUACCAUGUCCUAUCAACCUAACUCCCAAUCAGGGUCUAAUCAAGCCUAACUCCAACAUAAAGGAGUAUACAGAACCAUGAAAGAAGGUUGGGUUCGAAACACUCCACCUUAGCCUAGAUCUGGAUCUGGAUCUGGAACAAGAGACAAAGGGGAUGAGAUCUGAACAGAUCUGGAACAAGUAAACAAGAGAGACGAGAUCUGGUCACCACCACAACACCACACAUCCACCACCAUCACCACACUCGGACGAUCACCCCAUCACCACUUGGACGACCACCACCACCACCACCGGCGGCUCGGCUUGCUCUCGGGGGACUCACGGCGAGGAGAGAGGAAGAGAACCAACGGAAAGAGAAAGGAGAGGGAGAGGGAGAGAGAGGAGGCGUGAGAGAAGAAGAGAGAAGAGGAAAAGGGAAGCUUGACGGCUAGGGUUUUCUAGUCUCUCUAAAUCUCUGCAGAGCUUCGCUCUAGUUUCAGAAUGAGAGAAAAAUGAGAGGAGGCAGCUUUAUUUAUAGGAAAAGGAGGGAACCCUAGGUCAUUUACCCUAAUGGGCUGCAGUCUUAACGGGCUCUCCUUAAGAAAAUUUUUGGGCUAGGAACCGGGCCGUUACAAUUCUCCCCUGUUAAUCGGAAUUCGUCCCCGAAUUCCAAGCCCUAGACUUCCAAACUUAACAUCCGAUAACAAAAGGAACUCACACAAUCACACAUCAUACAAGGGAGGCACACAAGGCGAGAACAACUUUGCUCGGGGAUCUUUUAAAAACCAAUGAAUGAAUUAAGCUCAAAAAGAAAUUUUGCAAAUACAAUGGAUCCGAUCAAAAUCAUAAUAACGUAUAGAUAUAAUGGGUGGUUUUGAAAUCAUUUCCAGGAGUGUUAGAAGAAACAAAACUUUUACAAACUCUUUUCUUUUAAUGAAAACAAGUUUUUUUUUUUUUUUUUUUUUUUUUUUUUCGAAAACGUCGGAAAUGCUGAUCCCUUAGGACAGAACUAAGGGAUCUUAACCCGCUCUGAUACCAAUUGUAACAGCCCGAUUCCCCGGAGUCCGACCGGGGUUAUCGAAGGGGCGUUAUGGACACGUGUCUACUCAUCUAGACAACCCUACGUGUCCCGUUACUGGUCCCGAGAGACGAGCGCAUAACCUUCUUUGAAAUACCGUCAUACCCACAUCCAUAUACUUCUACUUACAGUCCUGCGCACAGGAAAAAUGGAAAUGGAGGGGUGAGCAACAAGUUACUCAGUGAAGUGGUUCUAGACCAGCCUGCCCGCAUGACA
This 2422-nucleotide long non-coding RNA is filed under the name Brassica rapa (field mustard). RNAcentral's name for it is "long non-coding RNA (BRAP_LNC003895)". Lineage: Eukaryota; Viridiplantae; Streptophyta; Magnoliopsida; Brassicales; Brassicaceae. The record is from RNAcentral.